UAGUUGCCUCAUAAAGCUAACUUAAAAAAUUAAAGUGCUAGUUACAUUGAGAGCCAUUAGCUCAGUUGGUAGAGCA
This 76-nucleotide transfer RNA is filed under the name Halobacillus sp. BAB-2008. RNAcentral describes it as "tRNA-Lys". Lineage: Bacteria; Bacillati; Bacillota; Bacilli; Caryophanales; Bacillaceae. The record is from RNAcentral.